UGUUAUUUCUAGAUUACUUUUUCAAGGGUAGUAAAAGUUAUUCUUCAAACCCAAAGGUUUUGGCGGCAUUCUAACCAAACAGAGGAGCUUGUUUCUUAAUCGAUAACCCUCGUUUUAUCUUACCUUCUCUUAUAGAGCUUGUAUACCUCCGUUGUCAGAUUACUUUAUAAGAAUGUUUUCAAUAAAAAUAAUUUUUUUACUUCAGGUCAAGGUGCAGCUUAUGGGAUGGUAGUAAUGAGCUACAAUUUAAUUUAAAAAAACGGAUAUUUAGUUUGAAUACUUUUGGAAGGUGGAUUUGUUAGUAAAAUUGUUUAAGUAUGACUUUUUGAAGAAGGUAAAAGAAUGUGCACAUAUCGCCCGUCACUCUU
This 368-nucleotide ribosomal RNA is filed under the name Simocephalus sibiricus. Its description in RNAcentral is "partial small subunit ribosomal RNA". Lineage: Eukaryota; Metazoa; Arthropoda; Branchiopoda; Diplostraca; Daphniidae. The record is from RNAcentral.